AAAAAUACUUCUCCUCUGUAAUUGCACAUUAAAGAGUGGGCUCUAAUAGUGCAAUGACUCAUCUUGACAUUUGACUGGUGUUCCAAGUAUAUGCUUGGAAUUGUCAUCCCAGGCUGAAGAGUGAGACCUGGAAGCUAGGCUUAGUCCUUUUUUGUUCACAUUUUCACAUGGUACUGAUGUCUACAGAAAUGACUAAAUCAAAGAUACAUUUAAGACUCUCUUCUUCAAUUUAGCUCUGAGCCUUUGUUGGUGGUUAACAUUAUACUAUAUCCAUUAUUCAGGAUUCUGAUGUGUGUGCAUGUGGAUCAUUUCUUCUGAUUUUGAUCAAUUACACAAAGUGCCAUUGCUUUCUGUAUUGCUUUGAAAUUUAAAAAUGUGACAAAAACUCUAGCUCUGAAGUGUGUGUAAUAGAAUUACUGACUUCUGGGGGCAUCUGGCUGACUUGGUAGGGCAUGUGACUCUUAAUCUCGGGGUCGUGAGUUCAGGCUCCACUUUGGGCACAGAGUUUACUUAAAAAAAAAAAAAAUACUGACUUCUUCAUUUCGUUUUUUUCUAGUGGAAAACCGAGGGAGUUUAAAGGAACAGAAUAUCAUUUUUCAGAAUUAUUUCAUUUUUAAGUACCAUUUUAUCUUAUUUUUGAUUUAAAAAUAACUAUUGUUUCAAACUCCGAGGAUGAUUUCUCUUUUUGGCUAAUGAAAGUGGACCUAAUUAAGUCAAAAUUAGAAAAAGAAAUGGGGAGAAACUUCAUGGCCUAUUUUCGUGUUUGAUUUGGGCAGGCAGAGGAGCUCUCCAGUUUUCCCUCCCAGCACUGUAAACUCUCAGAAUCCUUGGGAGUGAGAGGUGGCCCAUAGUUCUUCCUACAUCAACCAUUAAGGCUACAUAGUGACACCUGCUGUCAAGGACAGGAAUUCGUGGUGGCUAAACCUCACUGACUACCAGGCUUGGAGUGUGAUAACUGACUGCUUCUUCUAGCAUUCUGGAAUGGCCUAAUAGAGCUAAAUCUUGAAUCACUUGGAAUCUGGAGUUCAAUCAUUGUAGAAUUCAAGGAGAACUGACAUGGCUAUUAAGCAGAUGUCAUAGAAGGGAGACAGUGGAUGUUUGGUUACAGAAGCCAAAUACAGUGAGACAAAAUGAGCCAUAUGUCUUCUCUUUGUACUUUUAGGCUUGUAGAUACCUAGAGGGCUCUAUCUUUUCCUUUUUUCACAUUGAAUGUAUCGAAUGACUUCUGUGAUUCCACUAUAGAAAUUUAAGGGGGGUAGGCGCCUGACUGGCUCAGAGUGUGAUCAAGACUGGCUCUUGUAAGCCAGUUGUGAGUUCAAGCCCCAGGUUGCAUGUAGAGCCUUCUUAGAAUAGAAAAGAAUGGAUUGGAAUGAAUUGGAAUGGAUUGGAAUGCAAUAGAAUGGAAUGGAAUGGAAUGGGAUGGGAUGGAAUGGAAUGGAACGGAAUGGAAUAAAUUAUUUCAGGAAUUUAAGGUCUUAGAGAGCUGGAUGAUGGACUCCACAGUGCAUACACUAAUAAAUAUAUUACUGGAGUCACAUUGCUGAGUACCACUCCUCUAGAGAAACAGUCUUGUGGCAGUCGCAAGCUUUUGGUACAUUUCAAGAGUUGAGCAUUCUCUAUUUAAAGAAGAAGAAAAAUUAGCUGUUGAGAUAAUAUUUUAAUCCUAACUUGAUUGUGUUUUAUAUCAGAGAUUGUAUUGUAUUUUAGAACCAGACACUAAAGGCACAGUUGACAACCUCAUUGUUCUACUUACUGUAUUUUCCUCUUGAUUCCUGAAGAGUUCCAAAUUUUGGAUUAAGACCUAGAAAGGAACUUCUUGUCUAGAAUCCUUUUAUACAGUAAGUAAUCUGUUCGAAUGAUAAGGGAGGUAUUAUAGGAAGAAUUCCCCUGAAGCAUUUUUCUUACGUUUAAAGGAAAUACUGCUACUUUUUUCACAAAAGUACCUAAUUGGCAUAAAUUACUAAUUUUUUUCACAUAUACUUUAUCCCUUUAAUUACUAAAAUUUCGAAAACCUGCUUCCUGUUCCUUUCUAGUAAAUAUAAACAAAAUAAGCAAUCUCUUAAUUAAGAUUUGUUAUCCAGUCCAGUGAAUCAUAUACAACUUUUUUGGAAUUGUCAUGCUGGGUGGUAUCUUUCUUCUCAUUUCUCUCUGAGAAGUACUGAUUACUAGUGUUUUCCAUCUUAAUUUAAAGUAAUUAAAAAAAUAAGGUAUCAUUUAAAAAAUAAUUGCUAAUUCUCUAGGCAAUUGAUGAAGAAAUUCUUCAAGUAGAUGUGGUCUUUGAGCUAAAUUUAAUCUGAAACUUUUUAUUUAAUUUUGUUAAUAAUGUAAUAUCCCACCAAGAAAUUCUCUCCCUGGGAGUUUAUCCCAGUUUGAAAUAAAUCUUGGUGUCUAAAUAACAGUUAAAAAGAACUUGUAACUGUGGUUAAUCAAAAUUGACCGUUCAGAUGCACAAAGCUUGUAACACUCGAUUUCUUGGCUUGUGAGCUGAGGCUUUAAUGAGUCGUGUUUUAUUAAUGCUUGUCUCCUCCCUUUUCCUUUGAUAUCUUGGAAUAUUUUUCUUUUACAUCUGGUUGCUUUCUUCUCUCUUCCUUCUGUUUUUUCUUUAAGCUUUAACGGGGCAUAAUAUGAAAUCUUAGUGUAUUUUAAAAUUUUCUUCCAAGACUUUAUUUAACCACAUUUAAAUAUCUGAAAAAAAUUAGGGGAGGAAAAUAAUUUGAAUGUUUUUUCAUUUUACGCUCUUAGUUUUUCUCUCCCUCUGAUCUCUAAAUGAGUCAAAGCUCCUUAUUUUUAAAAAAGGUGGUGGUAGGAGGUAAUCUUUUCAUUUAUAUUUUUACCCUUCCCGACUUACUGAGAUGUAAUUGACAAAUAAGAUGGUAUAUAUUUCAAGGGUGCAGUGUGACAACUUGAUAUACAUAUAUGUUACAAAAGGACUCUCACAAUCAAGUUAACAAAUCCGUCACCUGAGAAUUAUGUUUUUUUUAAUUUUAAUUUUUGUGGUGAGAAUGCUUAAGAUUUAGUCUCUUAAAAAUCCAAAUAUAUACUGCAAUAUUAUUAACUGUAGUCACCAUGUGAUAUGUGAGAUCCUAAGAAUGUAUUCAUCUUAUAACUUAAAGUUUGUAGGCUUUGGCCUAGAUCUCUGAUAGGAGAUAAUCUUUAAGUAUCACCAGUUCCCUACCCUUUUGGAAAACCAGGACGGGAAAUAUGUUUUUUAAAAGAUGAAAACAGGUGCCUGCCUGGCUGGCUCAGUCGGUUAAGCGUCCGACCCUUGAUUUUGGCUCAGGUCAUGAUCUCAUGGUUCACAAGAUUGAGCCCUCUGUUGGGCUCUGCACUGAUGGCAUGGAGCCUGCUUGGGAUUCUCUCUCUCCAUCUCUCUGUGCCCCCACCUCACUCGUGCAUCUCUCUCUGUCAAAAUAAAUAAACUUAAAAAAAAAAAA
Neofelis nebulosa (Clouded leopard) is the source of this 3434-nucleotide long non-coding RNA. RefSeq lists it as uncharacterized. Lineage: Eukaryota; Metazoa; Chordata; Mammalia; Carnivora; Felidae. The transcript has 2 exons. The record is from RefSeq and is a predicted model, not a curated record.